GUGGGGAAUAUUGGACAAUGGGCGAAAGCCUGAUCCAGCCAUGCCGCGUGUGUGAAGAAGGUCUUCGGAUUGUAAAGCACUUUAAGUUGGGAGGAAGGGCAGUAAGUUAAUACCUUGCUGUUUUGACGUUACCGACAGAAUAAGCACCGGCUAACUUCGUGCCAGCAGCCGCGGUAAUACGAAGGGUGCAAGCGUUAAUCGGACUUACUGGGCGUAAAGCGCGCGUAGGUGGUUUUGUAAGUUGGAGGUGAAAUCCCCGGGCUCAACCUGGGAACUGCCUCCAAAACUGCAUGACUAGAGUACGGUAGAGGGUAGUGGAAUUUCCUGUGUAGCGGUGAAAUGCGUAGAUAUAGGAAGGAACACCAGUGGCGAAGGCGACUACCUGGACUGAUACUGACACUGAGGUGCGAAAGCGUGGGGAGCAAACAGGAUUAGAAACCCGUGUAGUCC
This 450-nucleotide ribosomal RNA is filed under the name uncultured bacterium. RNAcentral describes it as "partial 16S ribosomal RNA". It matches the Rfam family "Bacterial small subunit ribosomal RNA", at positions 354 to 796 of the family's 1533-position model. The record is from RNAcentral.